AGUUUGAUCCUGGCUCAGAUUGAACGCUGGCGGCAUGCCUUACACAUGCAAGUCGAACGGCAGCACGGAGCUUGCUCUGGUGGCGAGUGGCGAACGGGUGAGUAAUAUAUCGGAACGUACCCUAGAGUGGGGGAUAACGUAGCGAAAGUUACGCUAAUACCGCAUACGAUCUAAGGAUGAAAGUGGGGGAUCGCAAGACCUCAUGCUCGUGGAGCGGCCGAUAUCUGAUUAGCUAGUUGGUAGGGUAAAAGCCUACCGAGGCAUCGAUCAGUAGCUGGUCUGAGAGGACGACCAGCCACACUGGAACUGAGACACAGUUCAGACUCCUACGGGAGGCAGCAGUGGGGAAUUUUGGACAAUGGGCGAAAGCCUGAUCCAGCAAUGCCGCGUGAGUGAAGAAGGCCUUCGGGUUGUAAAGCUCUUUUGUCAGGGAAGAAACGGUGAAAGCUAAUAUCUUUUGCUAAUGACGGUACCUGAAGAAUAAGCACCGGCUAACUACGUGCCAGCAGCCGCGGUAAUACGUAGGGUGCAAGCGUUAAUCGGAAUUACUGGGCGUAAAGCGUGCGCAGGCGGUUUUGUAAGUCUGAUGUGAAAUCCCCGGGCUCAACCU
RNAcentral lists this ribosomal RNA (610 nucleotides) under uncultured bacterium. RNAcentral's name for it is "bacterial SSU rRNA". It matches the Rfam family "Bacterial small subunit ribosomal RNA", at positions 10 to 615 of the family's 1533-position model. The record is from RNAcentral.